This 1187-nucleotide long non-coding RNA is filed under the name Papio anubis (olive baboon). Its description in RNAcentral is "lncRNA (ENSPANG00000038231.1)". The record is from RNAcentral. Lineage: Eukaryota; Metazoa; Chordata; Mammalia; Primates; Cercopithecidae.
ACUACAUUACGUAUGCUUGUAUAUUUUUGUUUUUUUGAACAAAAAAGUGUUGGUUUUAAAUGUGGUAAAUGAUAAUUGGUCUAAUCUGCAUAAUCAAAGCUCUUUGGUAUUUUACAUAAUUCUUCAGAGGAUAAGGAAAUUCAAAGCCAAUAUGUUUAAGGACUUAAUUGGUGGUGAUUACAAAACAGAUAAAGCUAUUUAAGUUAGAGACGGAAACUAAAAGAAAAAAAUAAAUACUACAAAUAAAAAUUAUAGUAUCUUGAAAAUAAAAAAUAAUACUAGGUCUUUAACAUUAGUACUGGGACUUGCAGCAGAAAAGAGUAGUAAAAAUGAAGCAUAUUUCAAUAUAAACAACCGAAAAAUUAAAAUUAUGAAAUCUCAGUGACCUAAGAGAAAAUAUUAAGAAAAAAUAUAUGAAUUUAAUUGAAGGAGGAGGAGAGAGAGAUAAUAACGCUUUGUAGAAUAAAAAAUAAAUACAUACAGUUAUGUAUCACUUAAUCACAGUGAUAUACCCUGAGAAAUACAUUGUUAGAUAAUUUCAUCCUUGUGUAAACAUCAUAAAGUGUAUUAUUACAUAAAUCUAGAUAGCAUAGCCCACUACACACCUAGGCCAUAUAGUAUAAGCUAUUGCUCCCAGGCUACAAACCUGAAUAGCAUGGUACUAUGCUAAGAAAAGUACUAUACACAACUGUAAUACAGAGAGAAACAUUUAAUAAGGGUGAGAAAAGAAGUCACAAAGCCUAGAAAUUUACAGAAUCAAUUUUGCAGCAUUCCAUUGGACAACGCAAGUCAUAGAGUCAACCCAGACUCAAGGAGUGAGCAAAUGAGUCCCAAUUUCUUGAUAAGAGAAUCUGUAAAGUCAUACUACAAAAUGAAGCAGGAAUUAUUCUGGUCUUUUGUGCAACUAUUCUACCAUUCAAAGGAACUGUUAUUUAAAAAUAUGUACUAAUUUUUGACAUACUUUAUGCAUUAUUUAUACAUCAUGAGUAAUUUUAAAAUAAUGUUUUGACAAUAAUUUAUUUUAUGUUUAUUAAGUAAAUGCUAAUCAUGAUAAUUUAAUAUGACAUUUUUUGGGAAUUUAUAUAACUCAAAUUAUAUUUGAGUAUAAUAUGUUAAUUACUAAUGUGCAUCAUUUAAAAUUAUGUGAUCAAAUUAAACUCAUUCCCAGAACUUUAUAUUUAUGCUCC